RNAcentral lists this ribosomal RNA (497 nucleotides) under uncultured bacterium. RNAcentral's name for it is "partial 16S ribosomal RNA". It matches the Rfam family "Bacterial small subunit ribosomal RNA", at positions 28 to 507 of the family's 1533-position model. The record is from RNAcentral.
GAUGAACGCUGGCGGCGUGCCUAAUACAUGCAAGUCGAGCGAACGGACGAGAAGCUUGCUUCUCUGAUGUUAGCGGCGGACGGGUGAGUAACACGUGGAUAACCUACCUAUAAGACUGGGAUAACUUCGGGAAACCGGAGCUAAUACCGGAUAAUAUUUUGAACCGCAUGGUUCAAAAGUGAAAGACGGUCUUGCUGUCACUUAUAGAUGGAUCCGCGCUGCAUUAGCUAGUUGGUAAGGUAACGGCUUACCAAGGCAACGAUGCAUAGCCGACCUGAGAGGGUGGUCGGCGACACUGGAGCUGGGACACGGUCCAGGCUCCUACGGGAGGCAGCAGUAGGGAAUCUUCCGCAGUGGGCGAAAGCCUGACGGAGCAACGCCGCGUGAGUGAUGAAGGUCUUCGGAUCGUAAAACUCUGUUAUUAGGGAAGAACAUAUGUGUAAGUAACUGUGCACAUCUUGACGGUACCUAAUCAGAAAGCCACGGCUAACUACGUG